UAUAAUUAACCGAAGGAAAAGAAACUAACUAGAAUUCCCUUAGUAACGGCGAGUGAACCGGGAAAAGAUCAUCUUGUGAAUCUGUACAGAUUUAUUCUGUGCCGAGUUGUGAUGUGAAGACGCAAAAUCAGUGAGGAUCCUGGACUAAGUCCCUUGGAAAAGGGCAGCAGAGAGGGUGAGACUCCCGUUCUUGUCUAGGAUUUUUUACUAUGGUAUUUGUUGUCGACGAGUCGAGUUGCUUGGGAUUGCAGCUCAAAGUGGGAUGUAAAUUCAUUCUAAAUCUAAAUAUUGGUGGGAGACCGAUAGUGUACAAGUACCGUGAGGGAAAGAUGCAAAGAACUUUGAAAAGAGAGUUAAAGAGUACCUGAAAUUGCUGAAAGGGAAGCAAAGGAAACCAGUGCUUUGCCUGCUAUUUUUCUCUCGCUGCAUGCAGUGAGGGCGCUGUGGUAGGUUUUAGGCCAGCAUGGGUUUGGCUUGGAACAAAUGGCUUUAAGGGAGGUAGGUUCUUCGGAACUGUUAGACCUUUUAGUUUUGUUUCUGGCUGGAUCGAGGCUAGUCACUUUAUGUGCUUGUGAUGCUGGCAAAAUGGUUUUCUUUACCCCGUCUU
Molecule: ribosomal RNA, 607 nt
Filed under: Chaetoceros densus
Lineage: Eukaryota; Bacillariophyta; Thalassiosirophyceae; Chaetocerotales; Chaetocerotaceae
Description: partial large subunit ribosomal RNA
Rfam family: Eukaryotic large subunit ribosomal RNA
Source: RNAcentral